GAUGAACGCUGGCGGCGUGCCUAAUACAUGCAAGUCGAGCGAACAGACGAGGAGCUUGCUCCUCUGACGUUAGCGGCGGACGGGUGAGUAACACGUGGAUAACCUACCUAUAAGACUGGGAUAACUUCGGGAAACCGGAGCUAAUACCGGAUAAUAUAUUGAACCGCAUGGUUCAAUAGUGAAAGACGGUUUUGCUGUCACUUAUAGAUGGAUCCGCGCCGCAUUAGCUAGUUGGUAAGGUAACGGCUUACCAAGGCAACGAUGCGUAGCCGACCUGAGAGGGGGAACCGGCAACACUGAACCUAGAACCCGUCCCGACCCCUUAGGGGAGCCGCAGGAGGGAAACUUCCGGAAAGGGCGAAAGCCUGACGGAGCAACGCCGCGUGAGUGAUGAAGGUCUUCGGAUCGUAAAACUCUGUUAUUAGGGAAGAACAAAUGUGUAAGUAACUAUGCACGUCUUGACGGUACCUAAUCAGAAAGCCACGGCUAACUACGUG
RNAcentral lists this ribosomal RNA (497 nucleotides) under uncultured bacterium. RNAcentral describes it as "partial 16S ribosomal RNA". It matches the Rfam family "Bacterial small subunit ribosomal RNA", at positions 28 to 507 of the family's 1533-position model. The record is from RNAcentral.